ACUUGAAUAGUUUAUUAAAAAUAUAGGUUUGUGGUUCCUGAGAAAUUUAGUUAAAUUUCAAGUU
Molecule: transfer RNA, 64 nt
Filed under: Nephotettix malayanus
Lineage: Eukaryota; Metazoa; Arthropoda; Insecta; Hemiptera; Cicadellidae
Description: tRNA-His
Source: RNAcentral